RNAcentral lists this long non-coding RNA (419 nucleotides) under Bos taurus (domestic cattle). RNAcentral describes it as "long non-coding RNA NONBTAT000451". Lineage: Eukaryota; Metazoa; Chordata; Mammalia; Artiodactyla; Bovidae. The record is from RNAcentral.
UCAAGAAAUAUGGCCUGGGGGGGUCAGGGUAGGGAAGAGAGCUUUCCAUUUGAAAUAAAGCAGUUAAGCUUAGGAAUGUAGGUAUAUUAGGGAAAUGGCUAGAGGACUGCCUUUGCUGCCCCUCAGGAAGGCUUUGUUAACAUCUUUAUCAUUGUACUUCUCCAUCCAUCUUCUUCCGCAUCAUCUGGGUACAACUUGCGUACAGAGAAUAUGGCUUAUUUCUUUACAAUCCUAAGUCCUAGCACAGGAUAGCAGCUCCAUCACUGAUAACCAUUGAGUCAGUCGUUUAGUGCAUGGAACAGGACAGUAAGAAUUCUGGAGAAGUGGCUUGCAGCCCCCAUCAUGUUCACCUGUGAUCAGAGCUAAGCUGAACGGAUAGGUUAGGUUCACCUUCUGUGAAUGCCGUAUGCAACACUCUG